ACUUUCUAUUUUCUUCAAACAUGAUGAGUACCGCUGACGAGAAUAGAGCCAAAUUUUGGGAGAAUAUUUCCCAAAAAAUAAAUCGAUAUAAUCCACCACAACAUCUAUGGACCAACUUGAACGAGAACGAUUUGGACAUUAGUGAUCUACCUGAAGAUAUAACAGUAUCUCCUGAAUUAUGUGAGGAAUUUGUUAUAUCCCAAAAAAUCACCCUGCAACACUCAAUUUCAACCUUUCAGUUAAUACGAUGCUACCAACACAUCAUCCGCUUGUUACAAACAAUACUAAACUAUUUGUAAACUGUUGUAAAUUGUACUGCGAAUGGAGUAUUAACCAGAAUAGUGGUAUGCAUGAUCUAUCAAAUUGUCAAUAUGAUGAGCCGAAGUUUAUAUCAUUUUUUGCAGGACAACCCACAAUCGCACUCGACAAUAACAACAUUGAUGAACAUCGCCAAUACCUCACAAAUACCACAUGUUUCUUUUAGUUCUACUUAGCGUACAAUAUAUACUCAUACUUGUUUUAAUUUUUCACAGUUUUCAUGCACUGUAAUCAUUUAAUAAAGUAUCCACAUGAA
Long non-coding RNA from Leptinotarsa decemlineata (Colorado potato beetle), 574 nucleotides. The record is from RefSeq and is a predicted model, not a curated record. Lineage: Eukaryota; Metazoa; Arthropoda; Insecta; Coleoptera; Chrysomelidae.